AUGGAUUUUAUCUCAGGAUUGCCAUCUUCUGAUCAGUAUGAUUGCAUCAUGGUGGUCAUUGACAAAUUUACAACAUAUGGUCAUUUUAUACCUGUCAAACAUCCAUAUAUAGCCCAGAAAAUUGCUGAACUUUUUCUGGACAAUAUUUAUAAACUUCAUGGCAUGCCUCUCUUUAUAGUAUCUGACAGGGAUCCAGUUUUCACCAGCAAAUUCUGGCAAGCUCUAGUGAAGAGGACAUGA
RNAcentral lists this ribosomal RNA (240 nucleotides) under Triticum aestivum (bread wheat). RNAcentral describes it as "partial small subunit ribosomal RNA". The record is from RNAcentral. Lineage: Eukaryota; Viridiplantae; Streptophyta; Magnoliopsida; Poales; Poaceae.